AUGAAAACCCCCGAAGCUGAGUGCUGCUUCAGCCUUGCAUUUAACAUUUGUCAUUCGCCUUUGAUGAGAAGAAGGGGAGCUCUCAAUGUGGUGCCAACACAACAGCAAACAGCAGGAGAAGAGACUGAGACAAAUAUCUCUGAUGCAUUUCACCGGAUGGAUGAGGGCUGGAUUACACAGUGCUUGCUGAAGGAGGCGUUUUGGCCAGCACAUGUCACUAGAGGACAAGUUUGGGGUUUUGCUGAGCCCUGCAGGAAUGACCUGUUAGCUCCAGAGUAAGAGGCAGACCUGAACGUCUACGAGUGACAACUGGGAGUGAGUACAAAGAAGAAGGAGGACGAGUUGCAGCUCCAGGUGGGUUUCUGAGUACUCACAUGUGGUCUCCAAAAACAAUGGGCGGAUGCUUCCCAAAAUGUGUGAUUUCGUAAAAUACUGUGUAUAAAACCAGGGCUUUUGGUCUCCUUUGUAACCUUGUGUGAUGUUAUAAAGAGUUGCAGGUCGUGUGCUUGGAUGCUGGGAGAAGUCUCUGCUGAAAGUGGUUUCCAGGCAUCUUGCUGGCAAGAGACAAGUGGUAAUGAAGGACAUUAGGCUUGAGAACACCUCAGAUCGAUAUUGAAAAUAAGUGAAAGCCAUGUCUGCUCUUGAGCAACGGCAGCUGGGCAUCUCAGCAGGUGUCUCUCCUCACUGCAUGAUAGGGGGCUAGCCUGGCCCUCCUUCAUGAUGUGGAGCUGGUGUUAGCAGCCUCUGGGAGGCUUAUUGAUGCUUCAGAGCCACCAGCCCCUUGUGCAUGUGUACAGGAAGGCUCUGAAGCCAUGGUGGAUCCAGGUGGGUCCAGUUUAAUCUGAAUUUACAGCUCUUGGCAGAUUUGGGUGACGCAUAUCUCCUUAAUGCUUUACCCGUCAGCCUUAAAUUACAAGGAGAGCUGUGUAUCAUAUGCUUUGCCUAAACUGGGAAGUUGAUUUUCCCUUUCCAUGUUGGGGUGUUGUUUUAUGCAUGUCAGAAACAGACCCGUAGCCUUCAAGCCAUUUAACCAUAAAUCUGGUUUAAUUCUCCUAUGGACUUCUAUGCUUGCAGUGAGUCAAGGUCUUACAAAAUUUUGAUUUUCCUAAACUAAGCUUCAUGGAAAGUGAAACUUUUUUAAUGUCACAGAAAUGAAAUAACAAUUUUUAUCAUUCCAGGUGCAUCGCUACACUGAUUUCCAUUUUCUUUCAAUUUUCAAAUAUGUGAAGAAAGAACUGUAUUAACAGUUAGUACCGAGCGAGGUAGGAGGCUUUCACUAACCUUCAAGACUGCAUAUUGUAUAUUUUUUCUGACUUUUCUAUAAAUAAAAACAGCUAUUAAGAUGUAAUGCCUCUGGCU
Molecule: long non-coding RNA, 1359 nt
Filed under: Anas platyrhynchos platyrhynchos (common mallard)
Lineage: Eukaryota; Metazoa; Chordata; Aves; Anseriformes; Anatidae
Description: lncRNA (ENSAPLG00000017266.1)
Source: RNAcentral